GCGCUCGUAGGGGAGAGCGAAGAGCACCUGGGAAGCGUCGGUCUACGAAACCGAAGGUCACAGGUUCGAAUCCUGUCGGGCGCG
This 84-nucleotide transfer RNA is filed under the name Thermoleophilia bacterium. RNAcentral's name for it is "tRNA-Arg". It matches the Rfam family "tRNA". From Rfam's summary of the family: Transfer RNA (tRNA) molecules are approximately 80 nucleotides in length. Their secondary structure includes four short double-helical elements and three loops (D, anti-codon, and T loops). RNAcentral also lists the same sequence under 1 other name. Lineage: Bacteria; Bacillati; Actinomycetota; Thermoleophilia. The record is from RNAcentral.